GAUUAACGCUGGCGGCGUGCAUAACACAUGCAAGUCGAACGAUGAAACUUAACUGAUUUCUUCGGAAUGAUUUUAAGUGGAUUAGUGGCGGACGGGUGAGUAACGCGUGAGUAACCUGCCUUGGAGAAGGGGAUAGCCUUUGGAAACGAAGAAUAAUACCCUAUGAUAUGAUAAUAUCUCAUGAUAUUAUCAUCAAAGAUUUAUCGCUCUAAGAUGGACUUGCGUCUGAUUAGUUAGUUGGUGAGGUAACAGCUCACCAAGGCAGCGAUCAGUAGCCGGCUUGAGAGAGUGUACGGCCACAUUGGGACUGAGACACGGCCCAGACUCCUACGGAAGGCAGCAGUGGGGAAUUUUGCACAAUGAGGGAAACCCUGAUGCAGCGACGCCGCGUGAUUUAGAAGGCCUUCGGGUUGUAAAAAUCUUUUGUAUGGGAAGAAAAUGACAGUACCAUACGAAUAAGGACCGGCUAAUUACGUG
This 477-nucleotide ribosomal RNA is filed under the name uncultured bacterium. Its description in RNAcentral is "partial 16S ribosomal RNA". It matches the Rfam family "Bacterial small subunit ribosomal RNA", at positions 28 to 507 of the family's 1533-position model. The record is from RNAcentral.